This 421-nucleotide ribosomal RNA is filed under the name uncultured bacterium. Its description in RNAcentral is "bacterial SSU rRNA". It matches the Rfam family "Bacterial small subunit ribosomal RNA", at positions 355 to 774 of the family's 1533-position model. The record is from RNAcentral.
UAAGGAAUAUUGGUCAAUGGACGCAAGUCUGAACCAGCCAUGCCGCGUGAAGGAUGAAGGUCCUCUGGAUUGUAAACUUCUUUUAUCUGGGACGAAAACGGGAUUUUUAUCUCAAUUGACGGUACCAGAGGAAUAAGCACCGGCUAACUCCGUGCCAGCAGCCGCGGUAAUACGGAGGGUGCGAGCGUUAUCCGGAUUUACUGGGUUUAAAGGGUGCGUAGGUGGGCUUAUAAGUCAGUGGUGAAAUCUCCGAGCUUAACUUGGAAACUGCCGUUGAUACUAUAGGUCUUGAAAUAUCUGGAGGUAAGCGGAAUAUGUCAUGUAGCGGUGAAAUGCUUAGAUAUGACAUAGAACACCAAUUGCGAAGGCAGCUUACUACAUAUAAAUUGACGCUGAGGCACGAAAGCGUGGGGAUCAAACA